Molecule: long non-coding RNA, 909 nt
Organism: Talpa occidentalis (Iberian mole)
Lineage: Eukaryota; Metazoa; Chordata; Mammalia; Eulipotyphla; Talpidae
Exons: 3
Source: RefSeq, a predicted model, not a curated record
UAUAACUGAGCAACUGCAGAAGGAACUAACCUGGAGCUGAGCCGCAGGCCCAAGUGCAGAGGAGAGGAGCACCCCGAGGUGAGGGGCCCAUCAACAGAAAUUCAGAACUCCAGGGAUCUGGACAACAAUCUCUUCAUACUUCUCCAUACAUGACCUGCCCUAAACUAGCCAAUGAACUCCAGGUGUUGGUUGGUUGAACCCCCAGAUGUGGAGCCCACAUAAUGUGGAGAGUCAACUCUAAGAUAUAGGCAGAUUUUCAACUGUGUGAGAGGGCCCCUCAGGAGAACCAAGCAUCAAGAAGAGGGGGACCAACCACAGAAUCACAGCGUUGCCAAGGGCGCCCACUGCCAGAUCAACCAGCCCGUCUUCAUUCAGGUCCAGCUGCCCGUGGAUGCUGCAGCCAAAGUACUGCAGACCUGGAGUCAGUUCUGAGGCGGCGAUUCUCUGCCAAGAGUGGAAAGAAGAAGAACGCAGCGCACAUACACUGUUAGCACGGACGGAAGGGUGCCCUCGGGGUAAACACAAUUGGGGAGCCCAGAGACAGCCUGUUUGGAACCAUCAGGAAGCUUUCCUAGCUCAAAGCUUUUGCCUCCUGCUUGGUCCUGGAACUUGCAAUUCCUAUCUUUAAAUCAUUUGUUGGGAUUAAAAUAUUGUAUCUAGGGUCUCUAUGGUGGCGCAAGGGGUUAAACACCACACUGUGAAGCAAUCUGCAGCCUCUGCAGCAUGAGUUCGAUCCCCGGCCGGCCAGGGAGAAACCCACAUGGCGCAGCAGACCUCUCCUGUCUCGCCUGCUUCUCCCCUCAGCAGUGUGUUUCAGUCAGUCUGCCUGUUCUGUUCCCCGCUCUGUCUCUGGUGGAUCCUCUCACCCCCCGCAUCUCCGGUCUGUACCCCAGCUCUUGUAUGCAUAAA